AUGAACGCUGGCGGCGUGCCUAAUCCCUGCAAGUCGAGCGAACAGACGAGGAGCUUGCUCCUCUGACGUUAGCGGCGGACGGGUGAGUAACACGUGGAUAACCUACCUAUAAGACUGGGAUAACUUCGGGAAACCGGAGCUAAUACCGGAUAACAUGUUGAACCGCAUGGUUCAACAGUGAAAGACGGUCUUGCUGUCACUUAUAGAUGGAUCCGCGCCGCAUUAGCUAGUUGGUAAGGUAACGGCUUACCAAGGCAACGAUGCGUAGCCGACCUGAGAGGGUGAUCGGCCACACUGGAACUGAGACACGGUCCAGACUCCUACGGGAGGCAGCAGUAGGGAAUCUUCCGCAAUGGGCGAAAGCCUGACGGAGCAACGCCGCGUGAGUGAAGAAGGUCUUCGGAUCGUAAAACUCUGUUAUUAGGGAAGAACAAAUGUGUAAGUAACUAUGCACGUCUUGCCGGUACCUAAUCAGAAAGCCACGGCUAACUACGUG
This 496-nucleotide ribosomal RNA is filed under the name uncultured bacterium. RNAcentral describes it as "partial 16S ribosomal RNA". It matches the Rfam family "Bacterial small subunit ribosomal RNA", at positions 29 to 507 of the family's 1533-position model. The record is from RNAcentral.